Long non-coding RNA from Sphaeramia orbicularis (orbiculate cardinalfish), 1942 nucleotides. The record is from Ensembl. NCBI's taxonomy places the organism in Eukaryota, Metazoa, Chordata, Actinopteri, Kurtiformes, Apogonidae.
CUUAUGUCAACACAAGAACAAGAACAGGAACAACUAGCCUUCAACUGCCCAACUUUUUGUUACGGAGAAAACGACCACAAAAUGCCUCACUGUGCGGCUUUUGGUUGUCACUUCCAGUCUAAAGGCAACAAGGGAACUGAUGCCGGACGCUUUCGAGUAUUCUCAUCGUCCACGGCUCUUUAAAGAGCUCAUUGGUGCUCCGCGAUAUAAACGACGGCUAAAGCCAGACGCAGUGCCAACUAUUUUUACUCACAGGGAGAUUAAACAACCACAACCGGCGAGUGUCAACCAUGAGAGCAAACGUCAAAGACAGGAGACGAUGGACGAAUGUGCACAAGCAUUCGAGGUGGACGUGGACAUUGACGAUGAGGAACACCCACUGGACACAGAGGAGGAAACAGACAGUGCACCUGUAGAGACUACAAAAUCUAUAAAAAUGUACUGUCCGUUUUGCGGACAUAAACUUCGAUGUGCAUCCACUUUCUGUGGUUUGUGUGGCAAAAAUAUCAAAUUCUUAUAUGAAGUUGUGAAGCGUGGCACAAGUGAAGGGAGUGCAGGAAAACGUGUGCUUCCCACAUUCCAAGAACCCCAGGCAUCAAAAAAGGAGAAAAAAAUAAUAUCUUUAAAGAAGAAGAAAGAACUUCUGAAAAUAAAGCUUGUGAAGAUUUGUGUAGGCAUGAUGAUUACAAAAGAUGGAGAGCUGAAACCUGUGAGAGGAAUGGUGCUACCACUUGCAGUGCACCCAAGGGUGGGUGCUGAGGAACUGUGUAAAGCUGCUGAACUAAAAAUGAGGGACUUUGACAAAAAUUUACAAGGUGGUCCCUACUUUCUUCUUUACCCUGAUGGCACAAAGAUAGUUAACCUUCCUGGGACAGACAGACCCUUCACUCUCCAAGCCUACAAGGAUGCACUCGGGAAAGCAUACCAGAGGAUCACAGUAUAUAUUUGUACAGCUGAAGAUUUCUAUUCUCAGGACAUCAGCACAGACUCAUCAGACUCAUCAGAUUCAGAGAUGAUCAUAGGAAGCAAAAAUGCUGUUGAAUUGUGUUCGGCUGAUACUGUAGCUGCACUUUCUGACACAGCAGAUGCCCCAGGAACAUCAAGAGGUACAAUGGACACUGCAUGCUGCAGAUGUCCAAACAAUGGACAUCAGUCCACACCCACUUCCAUCUCUCCAAGAUGGCCUGUGAACCCAUUCGGGUUUUAUAAAGAUCUCCAGCUCCUGCCUACGGAUAAAGAAAAUGUUGAAACUAUAAAGAAAGAGGAGAGCCCUAGUCCACGCCAGGGGGACCUAAAGCCCCCCCACAUUAUAAACGAAGAGGAGAGCUCCAGUCCACACCAGGGGGACCUAAAGCCCCCCAACAUUAUAAAGGAAGAGGAGAGCUCCAGUCCACACCAGGAGGACCUAAAGCCCCCCCACAUUAUAAACGAAGAGGAGAGCUCCAGUCCACACCAGGAGGACCUAAAGCCCCCCCACAUUAUAAACGAAGAGGAGAGCUCCAGUCCACACCAGGAGGACCUAAAGCCCCCCCAUAAUAUAAAGGAAGAGGAGAGCUCCAGUCCACACCAGGAGGAUGUAAAGCCCCCCCACAUUAUGAAGAAAGAGGAGAUGGAGUUAACCAUCCCACGGCUCGAUCCAGAAUUAGAUUUACCCCCCCUCACUGAUAUUAAGACGGAAGAUUCUUCUGACACAGAUGACAGUGAAGAUUGGAAAUAAAGCCGGCCCAAUGAAAAGGUCAUGUGAACGCAGAAGCAGAUGGAGCAGAAGGAUCAGAACCGCCAUGAGUCAUUCACAGAGGAUACAUGAAAGGAAUGACAGAAGGACUCGAACCAUCAGCCCUGUUAUAGCAUUUUGUUUUGGUUAGUUUUAUAAAACUACCUGUGAUCCUACAGAUGUGACAUUCUUUACAUAAAUCACUUAUCAUCUCUGGAGAUAAAUAAA